Molecule: non-coding RNA, 117 nt
Organism: Diplogelasinospora grovesii
Lineage: Eukaryota; Fungi; Ascomycota; Sordariomycetes; Sordariales; Diplogelasinosporaceae
Source: the annotation of a GenBank genome assembly
GGGUGCAUGGUCUAGUGGUAUGAUUUUCGCUUCGCAUUUGUCAUUAAUACCUCAAGUGAGGCAAAGGUGAUAUGCGCGCUUUGUGAAAGGUCCCCGGUUCGAUCCCGGGUGCAUCCA